Molecule: ribosomal RNA, 253 nt
Filed under: uncultured bacterium
Lineage: Bacteria
Description: partial 16S ribosomal RNA
Rfam family: Bacterial small subunit ribosomal RNA
Source: RNAcentral
UACGUAGGGGGCAAGCGUUGUCCGGAAUUAUUGGGCGUAAAGCGCGUGUAGGCGGCUCGGUAAGUCUGCUGUGAAAGUCCAAGGCUCAACCUUGGAAAGCCGGUGGAUACUGUCGGGCUUGAGUACGGAAGAGGCGAGUGGAAUUCCUGGUGUAGCGGUGAAAUGCGCAGAUAUCAGGAGGAACACCGAUUGCGAAGGCAGCUCGCUGGGACGUUACUGACGCUGAGACGCGAAAGCGUGGGGAGCAAACAGG